RNAcentral lists this non-coding RNA (265 nucleotides) under Leuconostoc gasicomitatum. RNAcentral's name for it is "Leuconostoc gelidum subsp. gasicomitatum T-box". It matches the Rfam family "T-box leader". From Rfam's summary of the family: Uncharged tRNA acts as the effector for transcription antitermination of genes in the T-box leader family. T-boxes are found upstream of many aminoacyl-tRNA synthetase genes and some amino acid biosynthetic genes usually in Gram-positive bacteria. Lineage: Bacteria; Bacillati; Bacillota; Bacilli; Lactobacillales; Lactobacillaceae. The record is from RNAcentral.
GUCAACAGUGAAGAGAUAAGUAAUAUCAUGAGCACACUAAGAGAAUCUAUGUUUGGUGAAAGUAGAUUGCGUGAUUAUAUGAAAAUGGUCUUGGAGAGAUACGCCAUGGUGAGCAUACGUUAAUGCGUUGUGAGCAAUGACCGGGUGUGCCCGUUAUAGCAACAAUAAUUCCUAUGUUUUAGUUUUUUUUAAAUCAUAGCGAUUGUAUGAGGUAUGUUUUUAAACAUACAAAUACCGGGUGGUAACACGAUAAGUCGUCCCGCAG